AGAGUCCUGCGAAAACUGAAGUGGAGGAAGCUUAUGAAGGAGAAGACGAGCAUGAGCAGUCUCCUUCCAUCAAGAGGGAGCUCUCUGAUUUUGAUCUUCAAGUCCACCAAGCUGCUGCAAACAAAGGAAUAUGUGAUCCAUCAAAUGAAGAGAUAAAAUACCCGAGUGCGUAUGAAGACCAAGCUAACAUUCAAUUCGAAGACACGGACCAUAAAUACAGCAUAAAGAGUGAUGAUAUAAUCCAAAGUGGACAUGUCAGUGAUCCCGGGAUUGGCAAGACUGACUUUUGGGCUUCUCCAGAGCUCAAGAGAUCUUGUUCUAACCUGGAAAGAAGGGAUGUACUUAUGAAGACUUCUCAUCUCUUUCCAACUUCCAAGUCACAGUCUUUUGAGGAUUUACACGGAUUAUCAGCGUAUCAGAUGGCUAAUCUAGAAAGCCCCAGGUCUGCGAUGACUCACUGCAGUGCUGAUAAAGUGAUGUUGAAAAGGCAUUCCUCAAGUCAAGUUCUCCCUUCUAGAAGUAAA
This 524-nucleotide long non-coding RNA is filed under the name Vigna radiata. Its description in RNAcentral is "long non-coding RNA (VRAD_LNC003738)". The record is from RNAcentral. Lineage: Eukaryota; Viridiplantae; Streptophyta; Magnoliopsida; Fabales; Fabaceae.